RNAcentral lists this long non-coding RNA (2225 nucleotides) under Macaca fascicularis (crab-eating macaque). RNAcentral's name for it is "lncRNA (ENSMFAG00000055300.1)". Lineage: Eukaryota; Metazoa; Chordata; Mammalia; Primates; Cercopithecidae. The record is from RNAcentral.
UUGAGCACUGAUAAGCACUCUUUAAAGAGAAACAUUUUAAUGUUUUGGAAGUGCUUUCCAUAGUAAUAAGCCUAUCCUCCCUUGACUACUCAGCCCAGCUGACUAGCCUAGCUAGGAAACAGCCAGUCAGGCUGACAGUUAAUAAAAACUCAAGCUCAUGCCUGUAUUUACAGUGCUUUAGGAGGCUGAGGUGGGAGGAUCACUUGAGGGCCUUAGAUCAAGACCAACCUGGGCAACAUAGCCAGACCCCAUUCUCUAACAACAACAACAAAAAUUAGCAGGGGGUGGUGGGAGGCUGAGGCAGGAGGAUCACUUGAACCCAGGAGUUCCAGGUUGCAGUGAGCUAUGAUCACACCACCGCAAUACAGCCUGUGCAACAGCUUGUACAACCCUGUCUCCAAAAAAAUAACCCAAGUUUUCAAUAUGUAUAGCCACAUAUAAACUAGAACUUAAGACCUAAGGAUUCAUGUGAAAGCAGAAACUGAGUAAGCAGAAGCCCUAGGGUAGAGAAGGGCAUAGAAAGUCAAACAAGAGAGCAAAACAACCUGAGGCAAGAUGAUGACAAAGCAAAAAUGCAGAGCAAACAUGAACGCACACACGUACACACACAUAGUUUCUCCAGAUGCCUCGAUUUCCUAAUAGCUUUCUAGUUCCCCUUACUGAGAGGCAUAGCUACAUGCCGGGUCCUUUAGUGGGUUUCCAGUAAAAUCCCUGUCUCCCUUACUGCUCACGAUCCCUUGCAGUCUUGCUUAUUACAGCCCCCUUAUUUGAUCUGGCAUUUGUGUUCUUCACAAAAACAACUUUACUAAAACCAGAGGCAAAAUAUAAAAAUGCAUCUGUCAUCUAAUGAAGAAUAAAUCUAGUCUUUGUCUCCUGUUCCUGGUACAGAGCUUCAGAGAGGCUUGGGAUUUCCUGAUUAAUGGAAGUGUCUUUGUUAUUCAUAAGGAGCCCCUAUGGACUAUACCUGAGUUUAUACUUGGGGGCGACUCAAGGUAGGCCCUCACAUAGUUUCAAAGGACGGGCUGGCCAUGCCAGACAGACCAAGCAUAUGAUUAGAGGGUUGCAACUUUUAGCCACACCCCCAGAUGUUCAGAGAGUAAAGAGGAGCUGGAGAAGGAAGUUAAUAAUGUGGCCAAUAAAACUCUGGACACUCAAAGCUCAAGGAGCUUCCUGGUGGGUGAACACUUUGUGUGACUGGUAGUUAGUGUUAACUCCGGGUAGUUAGUGUCAGAAUUGAAAUGAAUUGCAGGAUACCCAGUUGGUGUCAGACAAUUGGUGUCAGAACAGUAUCUAUCACUCAUUAUUCACGUACCAACUAACAAAAUUAUUAACUGUUUUCCACCAAAGUAGUACAUUUUCAUUAAGGAAAAAAAAAAGGAUAACCAACAUGAACAUUUUAGUAGCUAUACGUCAACAUUUUUAACUCUACUAGGAAAAUUCAUCAAAGAGGUUACAAAACUUACCUCAAUUUUCAAUAUGGAGGAAAAUACUAUUAUCUAUAUCAAAUUAUGCCCAGAUACCAAGGCCAAUCUGUGUUUUUAAUUCUCGUCAAGUGAAGAGGCCUAUUAUUUUAAACAAACUUCCUAUAUUCUAAUUACACUGAUGUGAAACCACACAAUAAAAAUCUAAUAUUCCCUUGUACUUCUUUCUUAAAGAAUGGUUCUGGGCCGGGCGUGGUGGCUCAAGCCUGUAAUCCCAGCACUUUGGGAGGCCGAGACGGGCGGAUCACGAGGUCAGGAGAUCGAGACCAUCCUGGCUAACACGGUGAAACCCCGUCUCUACUAAAAAAUACAAAAAAACUAGCCGGGCGAGGGUGAGAAGCCUGUAGUCCCAGCUACUCAGGAGGCUGAGGCAGGAGAAUGGCGUGAACCCGGGAGGCAGAGCUUGCAGUGAGCCGAGAUCCGGCCACUGCACUCCAGCCUGGGCGACAGAACAAGACUCCGUCUCAAAAAAAAAAAAAAAGAAUGGUUCUGGGCCGGGCGCGGUGGCUCACCCCUAUAAUCCCAGCACUUCGGGAAGUCGAAGCAGGCGGAUCACAAGGUCAGGAGAUACAGACCAUCUUGGCUAACACGGUGAAAUCCCAUCUCUACUAAAAAUACAAAAAAAUUUAGCUGGGCGUGGUGGCACAUGCCUGUAAUUCCAGGUACUCGGGAGGCUGAGGCAGGAGAAUGGCGUGAACCCAGGAGGCGGAGCUUGCAGUGAGCCGAGAUCGCACCACUGUACUC